This 484-nucleotide ribosomal RNA is filed under the name uncultured bacterium. RNAcentral describes it as "partial 16S ribosomal RNA". It matches the Rfam family "Bacterial small subunit ribosomal RNA", at positions 30 to 507 of the family's 1533-position model. The record is from RNAcentral.
AUUGAACGCUGGCGGCAGGCCUAACACAUGCAAGUCGAGCGGAUGAAGGGAGCUUGCUCCUGGAUUCAGCGGCGGACGGGUGAGUAAUGCCUAGGAAUCUGCCUGGUAGUGGGGGAUAACGUCCGGAAACGGGCGCUAAUACCGCAUACGUCCUGAGGGAGAAAGUGGGGGAUCUUCGGACCUCACGCUAUCAGAUGAGCCUAGGUCGGAUUAGCUAGUUGGUGGGGUAAAGGCCUACCAAGGCGACGAUCCGUAACUGGUCUGAGAGGAUGAUCAGUCACACUGGAACUGAGACACGGUCCAGACUCCUACGGGAGGCAGCAGUGGGGAAUAUUGGACAAUGGGCGAAAGCCUGAUCCGGCCAUGCCGCGUGUGUGAAGAAGGUCUUCGGGUUGUAAAGCACUUUAAGUUGGGAGGAAGGGCAGUAAGUUAAUACCUUGCUGUUUUGACGUUACCAACAGAAUAAGCACCGGCUAACUUCGUG